CAGAUGGGUUAGUAUUAUAGGUGUGGUACUAGACAGAUGGGUUAUGGGUAGUAUUAUAGGUGUGGUACUAGACAGAUGGGUUAUGGUUAGUAUUAUAGGUGUGUUACUGGACAGAUGGGUUAGUAUUAUAGGUGUGGUACUGGACAGAUGGGUUAGUAUUAUAGGUGUGGUACUAGACAGAUGGGUUAGUAUUAUAGGUGUGGUACUGGAGAGAUGGGUUAGUAUUAUAGGUGUGGUACUAGACAGAUGGGUUAGUAUUAUAGGUGUGGUACUGGACAGAUGGGUAGUAUUAUAGGUGUGGUACUAGACAGAUGGGUUAUGGUUAGUA
Molecule: long non-coding RNA, 328 nt
Filed under: Salmo salar (Atlantic salmon)
Lineage: Eukaryota; Metazoa; Chordata; Actinopteri; Salmoniformes; Salmonidae
Description: lncRNA (ENSSSAG00000103045.1)
Source: RNAcentral